CGGGAUGAGCUCAAAUUUAAAAUCUGGCUGGUUUACUAGUCCGAAUUGUAGUUUAUAGAAGCGUUUUCGGUGGCAGCCUGGGUAUAAAUCCUUUGGAAUAGGGUAUCAUAGAGGGUGAGAAUCCCGUCCUUGAC
This 134-nucleotide ribosomal RNA is filed under the name Mortierella sp. Its description in RNAcentral is "partial large subunit ribosomal RNA". It matches the Rfam family "Eukaryotic large subunit ribosomal RNA", at positions 99 to 229 of the family's 3401-position model. Lineage: Eukaryota; Fungi; Mortierellomycota; Mortierellomycetes; Mortierellales; Mortierellaceae. The record is from RNAcentral.